ACACCUUUUGCACAUUUGUAUCUAUUGAUCUUUUCAAAUGAGAUUCCUUCAAAACUUUAUGAUUUAGAAUGUUCUCCGAUUUAUACAGAAUUUGCAGGAGGAACAUCUAGUGUCAAAAAUAGAUUUUUAUUUUUAAUUUCUCAUAUUGACUUUUCAAAAUCUACCUGGAGGGUAUUUGAUGCUGAUUAUGAAGUGAGACUCCAAGUUGAGUCUUCCUUCCCCAAAGAAGCCUUCCAAUUUCCACUAACUGCUUUAUCUCUGCCAUCUACACCCGGGCUCACAGCGCACACGCACCAGUACACAAGCGCACAUGCGUUCCUCUAAGACAUCUUUGGAUCUUAAAUGGAUGCAUUCCUGGAUACCUAUUUAUUUCUACUGGCAGCUCAUCUUGCAAGUCCCAUUUAUUUCACAGAUAAGAACACUGAGACUUAGAGAGCAGAUUAAUUUUCACAGUCACCCAGUUUGUUAGAGGAACGUCUUGGAGGACAACAAACCCAGAGCAACCCCAGCUAGUGCCACCCACUCACCUCACAGGGCUGGGUCCUUCCUCUCCUGAGACACCACAGCCAACAACAUUGCUUGGUUCUGUCCUGUCUAAUUAGACUUACAGGAUCCAACGCAGUAAGCAGCAGCCACAGGUGCACCGAGAGUCUGAAAUGUUUCUAGUCCAAAUUGAGCUGUGCCAGGGGAGUUGGGCACACGGGGAUUGAAAGACCCAGUGAGGGAAAGAAGAGGACACGGAACGCCUCACGGAUGGAUUUGGCAGCCAAGACCCGUUGACCCGAGAGUAUGUCCAACAUGUUGAG
This 806-nucleotide long non-coding RNA is filed under the name Marmota monax (woodchuck). Lineage: Eukaryota; Metazoa; Chordata; Mammalia; Rodentia; Sciuridae. The record is from RNAcentral.